GUGCAAAUUCUCACGGCAGGAGGAUCUCCAGUGAAGCCGCCUCCUUGUUGGGUUCACAAGGAAACAGCCCCACUCCACCAAGGCACAGAAUCCCGGACUGAUCCUGAGCGGACAUAAAUGUAGAUGUCUGUUUAUGUAUCGGGAUCUGGCCCCAGCAUGGUUUUACCAUACAAGUUGUGUGUGGGUUCAGGUCCAGCCCGAGGGAUGAGUGCAUAAUCCAAGCUGACCUUGUGAACAUAACAGACCCGGCAGGUCACAUGGCUGGAUACAGUAGCGCUGUCGUGGCGCUGCCUGUAGGGGGAAGCGGCCAUCUUGGCCCCUGCUCGUCCUCCGAAGACCAGAUACUGAAGAGAAGGAAGCCAGCAAUGACGGAUGUGAGGGGCAAGUCCAGUGGGAGAAUGAACCGGGGUCUGGCCUUCUGCUCCCUCGAGUCAGCUGCAGGAGACGCCCCUGGGGCAUAAAAGUGGACGGGCAAGGAGAGGGACGACGGUUCGCAGGACAAUCCAGACGUCCAAGGAAGGUGAAGCCUGGAGGCCCUGCAGCAUCCUGGGGCUCGCCUGGAUUGGGCUCCAUUCAUAAGAUCUUGAGCAUGGACUGGACUUUGAAAAUGGUGCCAAAACAUGGCACCUCUUGCAUGUGGUCUCAAUGGACUAUUGUUGUACACUUUGCUAAUUGUGCAUAGAUAUGGCAAUCCGUUACUGUACUGUAUGCAAGAAAAUAAUUUUAUGGUGCAAUUGCAUGUGACAUUAAAGCAUCAUUGUAACAUUGAAACAAUUGUGACUCAUGAGCUUGGGUCUAAAGAGGUCAUGACUAUCAAGACAAGUUAAGUCAGGUUUAUUGUCAUGAGUAGGUACAUAGACAAACACACAAAACCAU
Leucoraja erinaceus (little skate) is the source of this 876-nucleotide long non-coding RNA. RefSeq lists it as uncharacterized. The record is from RefSeq and is a predicted model, not a curated record. The transcript is spliced from 3 exons. NCBI's taxonomy places the organism in Eukaryota, Metazoa, Chordata, Chondrichthyes, Rajiformes, Rajidae.